GGAUAUGACAGGGAUCUGGAUGUGACACCUGUCACCCCAAUGACCACCAAGGUUGAUUUGGCUGAUCUGGCUGGCAAGGUGAGUGUCCACUUCUUUCCUCACCACUCCACAAGUGUCUCUCUUCAAGCUGCUGGUAGGGUCAAGGUGGAUGGACUGGUCUUUCGGUUGAGCAUAUGCCCCUGUUGGAACUCCAAACAAGCUCCUAGUCCCCAUGAUAUACUCUGUUCUACUCUCUUAAGGAAAGAUGUAUAGAGGGGGUGGUGACAUUGGGAGGACUCACUCCCAGUCAACCCAAUCCCCAGAUGUGUCAUU
RNAcentral lists this small RNA (312 nucleotides) under Erinaceus europaeus (western European hedgehog). RNAcentral's name for it is "7SK RNA (ENSEEUG00000022574.1)". The stretch from base 1 to 177 matches the Rfam family "7SK RNA". Rfam says of the family: 7SK was discovered as an abundant small nuclear RNA in the mid-70s but a possible function has only recently been suggested. The record is from RNAcentral. Lineage: Eukaryota; Metazoa; Chordata; Mammalia; Eulipotyphla; Erinaceidae.